This is a long non-coding RNA of Papaver somniferum (opium poppy), 115 nucleotides long. RefSeq lists it as uncharacterized. The transcript is spliced from 3 exons. Lineage: Eukaryota; Viridiplantae; Streptophyta; Magnoliopsida; Ranunculales; Papaveraceae. The record is from RefSeq and is a predicted model, not a curated record.
GGGCAUCUGAAUUUCAAUAGUCUCAAGUUACUUUCCAACAAGAACAUGGUGCAAGGACUUCCACAACAUAUCAACCACAAGGAUGGAGUAUGUGAAGGUUGUGCACUUGGUAAAC